Molecule: ribosomal RNA, 200 nt
Filed under: uncultured bacterium
Lineage: Bacteria
Description: partial 16S ribosomal RNA
Rfam family: Bacterial small subunit ribosomal RNA
Source: RNAcentral
AACGAACGCUGGCGGCAGGCUUAACACGUGCAAGUCGAGCGCCCCGCAAGGGGAGCGGCAGACGGGUGAGUAACGCGUGGGAAUCUACCGUACCCUACGGAAUAGCUCCGGGAAACUGGAAUUAAUACCGUAUACGCCCUUCGGGGAAAGAUUUAUCGGGUAUGAUGAGCCCGCGUUGGAUUAGCUAGUUGGUGUGGUAA